RNAcentral lists this unclassified non-coding RNA (324 nucleotides) under uncultured fungus. Its description in RNAcentral is "partial contains 5.8S ribosomal RNA and internal transcribed spacer 2". The stretch from base 1 to 133 matches the Rfam family "5.8S ribosomal RNA", at positions 22 to 154 of the family's 154-position model. Lineage: Eukaryota; Fungi. The record is from RNAcentral.
UGGUUCUGGCAUCGAUGAAGAACGCAGCGAAAUGCGAUAAGUAAUGCGAAUUGCAGAAUUCAGUGAGUCAUCGAAUUUUUGAACGCACAUUGCGCCCUUUGGUAUUCCGAAGGGCAUGCCUGUUCGAGCGUCAUUUCAACCCCCAAGCUUUUGCUUGUUGUUGGAUAAAGGAAAUCACUUUCCUUUUCCCAAAGAUAAUGACUUGUAAAGAUGAUUGCCUGUACAAUGAGCUUUUCCAAAGAGCACGUACAAAGCGAAAAUUUGAACAAGUCCUACACCGUUUUCUAAAUGAUUGACCUCGGAUCAGGUAGGAAUACCCGCUGA